Molecule: long non-coding RNA, 19731 nt
Filed under: Theobroma cacao (cacao)
Lineage: Eukaryota; Viridiplantae; Streptophyta; Magnoliopsida; Malvales; Malvaceae
Description: long non-coding RNA (TCAC_LNC005736)
Source: RNAcentral
AGAGAUGUGAAUGACAGAACAUUAGGAUUAACUUGUAUCUUAAGUGCUCCUGCUGGAGCACUCACUGUUGCUGUAUAUGUAGACAUUGGUGAUCCCACAUUUGUGACAGUCCUGUUGAAGGUGCGGCUAACUGGUUUCAAGAGUGAGGUAAAAAGUGAAAACGAAGGAUAGUUUAGAUCCCAAACAGUUGGGAAAUUGCAGAAUUAUCUCUAAAGAAUUGCCCAAGAUCUAACCCAAUCAAUAGAAUAAAAAAAGAAAGAAAUCAAGCACACCCACAAGAACACAAGAAUUUACGUGGUUCAGUCUUUUGAUGACCUACGUCCAUGGGCACAACAACAGAGAAAAAUCCAUUAAGAGAAAAAUCAGGAGAUUACAAAAAACAGUCUCAAACUCAUAACCCUUAUCCCACGUACACCUAAAUCACUCUCUCUAAAUCUAGGUGAUUAUUAUUCUUUAACCCAUAGGGUCCUUUUAUAGUAUCAAAUACAAUAACCUUAUCCUAAUUUAAUUAGGAAUCUUAUCCUAAUAGAAUUAGGAAUUGUUAUUCUAAUCUUAACUAGAUUUAAAGACUAUUUAAUAAGGUAUACUAAUUUAAUUAGAAUUAAACAAUCCUAAUUAAAUCACAAUUCAAGACUAUCCUAACAAAUCUCCACCUUGGGCUUGAAUUCACCAAGCUCCACCUUACGAACCAAUCUCUGUCGACACCGCCACUGCCCCAAUGGGCCUCAAGCACUACGAACACCGAUCAAGUCCAAGCAAUGCUUGAACUUUAUCCCAGAAACUGACUUAGUUAGCAUAUCUGCCGGAUUUUCAUCUGUAGCUAUUUUCUUUACUACAAUCUCACCUUUAGAAAUAAUCUCUCGAACGAAGUUACACUUGACUUGGAUGUGUUUGGUUCUCUCAUGAAACAUCUGAUUUUUAGUCAAAUGUAUAGCACUUUGACUAUCACAAAACACAACUGUUUGUGUUUGUUCAAAACCAAGAUCACUAACCAAGCCUUUAAGCCACAAAGCCUCCUUCACUGCCUCGGUCACAGCCAUAUAUUCAGCUUCAGUUGUAGACAAAGCAAAGGUUGAUUGAAGAACUGCUUUCCAACUGAUUGCAGAUCCUGAGAGAGUGAACACAUACCCCGUUUGAGAUCUUCUACUAUCUAGAUCACCAGCAAAAUCUGAUUUGGAGAAGCCAACCACAUUACGACUAAUGUUUGCACCUCCUUCACACACUAAGCCAACUUCAAUAGUAACUUUAGGUGUUUUCACAAGCUCCCAUGUUUGAUCCCAGUGUAGAGACUCAAUCUUCUUAGAAGACUCGACAUAUAUAAUUUUCUCAUGAUAAAAGUAAGGCUCUUCAAUCUCUACUUCCACAAAUAAAACAUAAGAAUCAAAAUCACCAUCAAUACAAGUAAUGCUUCGUUGAGAUACCAAUUCUUGUACCUCUUGCAAUUCUUUCUGGAUUUCACUAUCAUCUCGCACUGUCACAAGAGCAUUGAUUUCAAGCUCCACCUGCUUGCCAACUUCUUGGUUUGAUGUGUUUGCAAUUCUAGACUUUAUCCCACAAAGUAAUGCAGACUUGUCAAAGGUAACAUCCCGACUCACCAUAAACUUGGGGAACUUACAAUCAGUACACCACAACCAAUAACCCUUCACCCCAUAUGCAUAGCCUAGGAAUAUGCACUCUGUCGCCCUCAACUCAAGUUUACCAUCACUCACAUGAACAUGAACAGGACAACCAAAUACUCUCAAUAUAAAAUAAUCAGCAGGCUUACCAGACCAAACUUCCUUGGGAGUCUUAAAUUCAAUUGCAGUUGAUGGAGACCGAUUUACCAAGUAACAAGCCUUGUUGAUAGCUUCUGUCCAAAAUACUUUGGUUAGGCCAACAUUUGAGAACACGUAUUUUGCUCUCUCCAAAAGUGUUUUCUUCAUCAAUUCUACAAUAUCGUUUUGAUAUGGUGUUUUGUCGACAGUGCGAUGUCUAACGAUUUUCUCAUUCUUGUAGAAUAGACCAAACUCACCUUUGCAAAAUUUCAAACCUUUGUUUGUUCGAAAGCUCUCGAUCCUUUUCUUAGUCUGCUUCUCGAUCAAUACCUUCCAAUGCAAAAAGGUGGUUAACACUUCACUCAUAGCCUUUAGAAGAUACGUCCACACCUUUCUUGAAAAAUCAUCAAUAAAGAUCCACAUGUAUAAUGAUCCACCUUUUGAUACCACCGGAGAAGGAUCCCACAAAUCUAAAUAGAUGUAGUUUACUGUACCCCUGGUUUGAUGAGUUUUAGUGCUAAAUUUCACUCUACGUUGCUCACAGAAAUCUAGCUUUCCACUCUUUUGACCACACAGCAAACUAUGCUUACUUAGUUUUCUAAUCCCUCUCUCGCUCAUAUGACCAAAUCUCAUAUUCCAUAAACGUGUUACAUCAUCUUCAGGAUCAUUAGAUGAGACCACAGAAACAGUUUCAAUGACCGUGUUUCCCACUAGACAAUAAAGGUCACCGGAUAACUUGCCCUUCAUGAUAGUUAAGGCUCCUUUAGAUACAUUCAAGACACCAUCUUGGCCACUAUAUUUGUAGCCCUUCUUAUCUAACAAACUCAAGGAUAUUAAAUUCUUUUUCAUGUCAGGGACAUGUUUUACCUCAAGUGUUCUUACCAUACCAUCAAACAUCUUGAUUCUAAUUGUGCCAAUUCCAACAACUGAGAGAGAGAAAUCAUCUCCUAAUUGUACAGUGCCCAUAUUAACAGAUUGAUAAGUUGUAAACCAAUCACGCCUAGGACAUAUAUGAAAGCAACAAGCCGAAUCCAAGAUCCAUGUAUCCAUCAGGUUACAAUUAGUAAUUGCAAGAACAUUAUCAGUUUCCUCAAAAGUAUCAAAGUCAUCUCCAACCACGUUUGCAGUAUUCUCAGACUUAUUAAACUUUUCAUCAUCCUUGAAUUUGAUACAGUCUUGACGAAAAUGCCCUUUCUGACCACAAUUCCAGCAAGUUUUCCCUUUUGCUCUAGAUUUACCUUUUCUGUCUAAGCCUUUCUCUUUACCUCUACCUCUAUUUACAACCAAACCUUCUGCUUGAUUUUCAUUCCGAAUACCACCAACUUUCUUCUUUAAUUCCUUGGAAUUUAAAGAUGCCCUUACAUCCUCGAAAGUGAGAGUGUCUCGGCCGUAAAGCAUAGUAUCCACGAAAUUUUCAUACGAUGGAGGCAAAGAACAUAAAAGAAUUAGGGCUAGGUCCUCAUCCUCAAUUUUAACAUCGAUAUUCUUUAAAUCAAGAAUAACUCUAUUAAAUUCAUCAAUGUGGGUAUUAACGGACGUACCUUCACUCAUCUUGAGAGUAUACAAUCGUUGCUUCAUAUAAAGCCGAUUCGUCAGGGACUUGGUCAUAUAAAUACUUUCGAGUUUAAACCACACUGCAGCAGCAGAUUCUUCAUCCGUGACUUCUCUUAGCACCUCAUCAGACAAAGCAAGGAGAAUAGCACUAUGUGCUUUUUCCAUAAGGUCAUCUUUCUCACCAUCAGAUAAAUUCGAGGGAAGAUGUUCUUUUCCCUUCAGUGCCUUCAACAGUCCUUGUUGCACUAGCAAUGCGCGCAUCUUAACACGCCACAGGCUAAAAUCGUUUCUUCCAUAAAACUUUUCAAUCUCAUACUUGGUCGACGAAAUUGCCAUAGUGAGAUUCAGAUUGACCCAAGACCUUGAAGCUCUGAUACCAGUUUGUUGGGAAAUUGCGGAAUUAUCUCUAAAGAAUUGCCCAAGAUCUAACCCAAUCAAUAGAAUAAAGAAAUAAAGAAAUCAAGCACACCCACAAGAACACAAGAAUUUACGUGGUUCAGUCUUUUGAUGACCUACGUCCACGGGCACAACAACAGAGAAAAAUCCACUAAGAGAAAAAUCAGGAGAUUACAAGAAACAGUCUCAAACUCAUAACCCUUAUCCCACGUACACCUAAAUCACUCUCUCUAAAUCUAGGUGAUUAUUAUUCUUUAACCCAUAUGAUCCUUUUAUAGUGCCAAAUACAAUAACCUUAUCCUAAUAUAAUUAGGAAUCUUAUCCUAAUAGAAUUAGGAAUUGUUAUUCUAAUCUAACUAGAUUUAAAGACUAUUUUGUAAGGUAUACUAAUUUAAUUAGAAUUAAACAAUCCUAAUUAAAUCACAAUUCAAGACUAUCCUAACACAAACUGUUCCAUUUGUAGCUUUAGAACAAGCAGCAUUAUCCCUAGUGACUAGUUGUAGAAACCGAGUGCUAUAUCCUUGUCCGCAUAAAAAUUUUAUGUAGUCAACUUCCUCAGAAUCAUAUACUAGACCAGGAUUGACAGCCUUGAUAGGAUUCAGAUGGCCUGAGCCGUAUGCAAAUUCAGCAUCCAAGUUAAUACCGGAAAUCAUAAGGAAGGCUGCAAGGAAACAUUCCAAUCGGGAAAAUUAACUGCAGUCAAUGAGAUUUUGUAGUUUAGGGAGACAGUAGUGUAGUAGUCAUAGCUAUUACCGUGGUCAUAAGGGCAGAUUUGAGAGCAGCAGGAGACCAUGUGGGAUGAAAUGAUUUAACGUAGGCAGCUGCUGCAGAAACAUGGGGGCAAGCCAUUGAUGUUCCUGAGAUUAUGUUGAAUGGCUCCAAUCUGUUAUCGCCUUUAGUUUCAGAAACAGGGGAAAUUAAGGACCAUGCAGCUAGAAUGUGGACUCCUGGUGCAGAUAAAUCUGGCUGUGAUUGUUAACAACAAUUUAAUGUAAUAAUCAGUCAUAUAGAAGGGUAUAUGUACAUAAAGAUUAAUUUUUCAUCAACUUGCCUUGAGUAUGUCAGGUGUAAUUGGAUUCGGACCCCUUGAUGAAAAAGAGACUACAUAAGGAGCCAGUGAGUCAUUAGCCUCAUUACUCUUAAAUAUAGUUGCAGUUGGGGUACUGUAAUUUGUUUCAAGAUGAUAUAUGUAAGUGUUAGAAAAUCCUUUGUUACCUUUACAAUAGAAAGUUGUGUAAAAAUUAUACUUGAUUAAUUAUAUAAAAAAGGAACAGAAAAUUUCUUCUUGUGUUGCUACCUUAUCGAGUUUAUAUAUGCAAAAAUCUUGCUGCCAUCAGCUAGAUCAAGGUAAGAUGCAGGUAAAGGAAACGAGUGAGUAUAGUCAUUCGGAAGCUGGUCUCACAUCACUGUACCAACUGCACCAGCUGAAAAAGGUCCUCUCCCACGGCUUAGCUUAUCACAAGGAACAAUCUUACCCUUUACCAAAUUUUGAUCCAGUGAAUUCUGAUUACAAUACCUGUGCUUCAAGAAUCAAUUCCAUAAUCAGAUAUUAUGAGUAUGAUCUUUCUCAUACUUGUAUUUCCAUUUUAUGGUCACCCUUAUAUUAGUUUCAAGCUUCUUAUCACUAGAUUUUUAAGAAAAAAUGGCUAGGUUUCUGAUAUUACCUGGCUGAAGACCUUGACGCAUUAGGACUGGCUGCAUCUCCACCAUAAAUCAUAGGGUACAUUUUAUUCUGGAGAUCAAAGGUAUUUAUCGAUACCCCCUGGAUACAAGCCAGAUAAGCAAACAUAUAUUCAAACGAAAAGGCAUUAUAGUUGCAAUAAUGGAUCUAAAUGCAUUUUAUUAACAAGGAAAUCCAAUUGUGAUUGCCCAUAGCUUAACUGGUUACUUGACAGUCAUAUUUCUUUAAAGAGGAUCUCUCUGGUUUCACUUCCUCAUCUCCAAAUUAAACUUAAUUAGCAAUAUUUAUUUUUACCUAAGAGGAUUGGAUUAAUAUCAAUGAUAUUACCUCAUAAAUCUUACUGUUGCCAAGCUGCACCUUGGUGAAAAACUUGCGGUCUAUCGUGCUAGCAGCCACAGCAAGGGACCAUGGUGAAAAAUUUGAGAUGGUAGAACGUUCGGGGCCAUCAUUACCUGCAGAAAUUACUGUCAAUACACCAUUUUUCAUGGCAUGAAAGGCUCCGAUUGCAAUAGGAUCUCUGAAGUAGUCUUCAGGACUAUGUCGUCCAACUGAAAGAGAAAUUAUGUCAACCCCAUCUGCAAUUGCAUCGUCAAAUGCUGCAAGAAUAUCAGCAUCAUCGCAACCAUCUGACCAACAAAUUUUGUAAGCAGCUAUACGUGCUGAUGGGACCCCUCCUCGAGCUGUUCCUGAGCCAAAACCAAACAGGCUUGCCCUGUCAACUAACUUCCCUGCUGCUGUUGAUGCCGUAUGAGUCCCAUGGCCAUCAGAGUCUCUCGGAGAAUUGAUGUCAUUUGGGCCAAAGAAUCCAACACUGCGGUAAUGUUGUCCACCUAUGAUCUUACUGCAUUUGGAUAGCAAUAUUUGUCAGACAAGUCAAGCACUAAUCAGACUGAUGACUCUCCAAGACCAUAUACAAAUUUAUAUUCAUGUUUUUGAGAUGCAUACUUGUUGCAAGUGAAAUUGCCACCUGCAGUUUGGCAACUGCCUUUCCAUUUCUUGGGAGGUGGACCAAGUCCUUGGUCAUUAAAGCUUUCAGAUUCAGGCCAAAUCCCGGUGUCUAAAACCCCAAUGAUAACAUCACUUUCCAGAUCUGCUCUUUCGACUUGUUGGGAGAAGCCCAUAAAGUCCCAUGAUCUUGUUGUAUGGAGGUUUUUCUUUUCAUUCGGAAACACAGAUACUACACCAUUCAUUCCUAAAACGUCCAAAGAUGGAUUAAACAGUUUCAAGAAACAAAUAUCAUGGUGAAAUUAUAUUCACUUACCAGCCAUUUUCCCUGCCUCUUCCUCCGUUAGCUCCACCACAAACCCAUUAAAACUCCUUUUGUAGCUGUAGAGCACUGACUUCUUAAUAACAUCAGUGCAUUCAUUCCAUUUGAAUAGUCAAGUCAAUGCCUCGUCAAUGUAAAUGUGACAGCGAUGAGUAUUUCCUUAUACCUGCCAUAGACAUCUUGUAGCAUGCUGCUAUGAAGCAAGGAAGUGGAAGUUCCAUCACUAGGCUGGUCUCCCAUGUACACAAUAUAGCUCUACAAGUUCAAAGGUACAAAAACAAAGUUCAUCAAAAAAAGAGAAAUAAGUUAAAGCCAUGAUUGUUUUAGGCAUGAUCGGAUAUGAUGAAGCAGAUGACUGAAAAAAUAUGCAAAUGGAAAACCCAAUUAAUCAAUAUACAUAAAUAUUGCCUUUCUAUUAGUAUUGGAUUGAGAAUGAGAUGUUGCCCUGUUAGUAAGCAGAGCCAAGAGAACGCCAUGGAGUAGAAGGCGGGGAAGAAGAUAUUUUCUGCCUUUCAUUAUUGGAAGAAUGGUUUCAUACAGACUUUUCCAAGUACCAGGCUGGAAAAUGUGUUUUGUCCAAGUGUUUGCUAUGCAUAUUUAUAGAUUCAAUAACUGAGAAUUUUCUUCUGUCAAGAUUUUUUUUUCUUAUGGAUAUGAAUAUCCCAAGUUUAACAACCAUUUAUAUGGAUUUUUAUAGACAUGCAAUUGUUAAAUUGGAACCACCAAAAUGAUGUAAGCACUUGACCUUGACCUCGACUUUUGACAGUCUUGCCCAGAAGAAGGGUAAUGCUUGAAGUGAGGACCUAGGAACCUUCCUCACUGGCUAAUGAAGAAAAAAGUUUAACACGCCACUUUAAUAUAAUAUACCCAUUUCCUAAAACUAAAGUCUCUAUUUAAAUUGUCCCAAAAUUAAAGUUACAUGUUUAUUUGCAGUGUCAUAGGCUCACAGCCACUUUUCCACAUUUGUUCUUCUUCUAUCACAACAAGACCAGGGAAUUUGCAAUGUGAAAAGAAAAGAGUACUACUUAUGAAAGACUAGCUUUGAAUUCAACGUGUUUUAGUAGAAGAGAAAUAGGAUAAAUUAUUAAAAAUUUUUGAUAAUUCAUAACUAUGAUAUUGAAACAAAUACAGUGAUGGGACUCCUGACUUUAUGUACUCCAUCAUCUGUUGCGAUUUUAAGAGUAUUAGCAAUGAACAAGCAGAAGUAGGAAGAACAGAGAAUGAAGAAUCUGGAAAAACAAAUUGGGGAGCACAAAACAGAGGCUCUCACACACAUUUCAUCUAUUCAUAUUCCUUUAUAUACUGAGUGCUUAACAAGAAAUAACCAAGAGAUUAGCAACCGCAGAGAAUCUCGAAGAAAGAGAAUGAAAACGGUAGGCUGUGCACUGAAAUCCAUGUAUUGGUUUCAGUGCCGGGCAACGGCUACAAACAGGAAAGAAAAACACCUGGCUUAACAGCCAACGACAUCAAAAACGACACACACAAGCUGUGUUUAACAAAGUGAAACAAGAAACGACAUAGGCUAAAGUCGUAUCACUUAAAACAGUAAAAUGAAUUAAAUGAAACGACACUCAAACUUGGCGUUUUAGCUGCUGAAGUGAAGAAACGGCAUCGUACUGUACAUCCUUCUUCUUCUUCUCCCUUAUUCAGCCUCUGACUCUUCCCGCCAAGUCUGCUCCUUAAAUCUCCAGAAUUGUGAUCAUCUUCCAACAUCAUCCCAUACCAAGGAAGCAGAAACUAUAGAUUUAUCUAUUGUUCCUUCAAUGGUUAGUGAAAAUGGUAGCUUCUGCCCGAGAGAUUUGAAUGACAGAACAUUAGGAUUAGCUUGGAUUUUAAGUGCUCCUGCUAGGGAAGUCACUUUUGCUCUGUAUAUAGACCAUGUGGGAUGAAAUGAUUUAACGUAGGCAGCUGCUGCAGAAACAUGGGGGCAAGCCAUUGAUGUUCCUGAGAUUAUGUUGAAUGGCUCAAAUCUGUUAUCGCCUUUAGUUUCAGAAACAGGGGAAAUUAAGGACCACGCAGCUAGAAUGUGGACCCCUGGUGCAGAUAAAUCUGGCUGUAAUUGUUAACAACAAUUUAAUGUAAUAAUCAGUCAUAUAGAAGGGUAUAUGUACAUAAAGAUUAAUUUUCCAUCAACUUACCUUGAGUAUGUCAGGUGUAAUUGGAUUCGGACCGCUUGAUGAGCAAGAGACUACAUAAGGAGCCAGUGAGUCAUUAGCCUCCUUACUCUUAAAUAUAGUUGCAGUUAGGGUACCGCAACUUAUGUUGAAAGUGUAUAACUAUCUGUUAGAUGAUCUUCAUUUAUGAUAGAAAGGGGUAUAAAUUUAUACUCAAUGAAAUUGACAAAAUGAAAAUCUUGUGUUCCUACCUUGUCGAGUUUACAUAUACAAAAAUCUUGCUGCCAUCAACCAGAUCAAGGUAAGACGCAGGCAAAGGAAACAAGCUAGCAUCAUCAUUUGGAGCAUUGUCUCGCAGCAAUGUACCAACUGCACCAGCACGGAGUGGUUCUCUCCCGGAGACAAACCUAUCACAAAGAACAAUUUUACCCUUCACCAAAUUGCGGUCCAACGAGUUCUGAAGGCAAUUCCUGUGAUUUAAGAAUCAAUCCGAUAAUCAGAUGUCAUGUUUUAUGUUUCUCAUACUUAUAUUUGGCAUUUAAACAAGAAAUAAUGUCUACCCAAAUCUUUUUGUUUUUUGCCGUUUGUGUGAGUAUGGAUAUCAGUAGCAUUUCUGUUGACUGAUGACUCUCAUUUUUGUCCACAUACACACCAUGAAAGAAUGGAAGAUGUUUCUGAUAUUACCUGGAUGAAGCCCAUGUAAAGUUUCCAGUCGUGUUGGGUGCACUUCUACCAUGAAUUAUAGGGUACAUUUCAUUCUUGAGAUCAAAUGUAUUUAUUGAUACACCCUGGACAAAUGCCAGAUAAACAGAUAUUCAGAAUCUAGCUUAACUGGUUACUUCGGUGGUCAACUAGUCAUACUUCUUUUUAAAAGGAUCUAUCUGGUUUUAAUUCCUUGUUUCCAAACCCUCUAAAAGUUUUGCUUUUACUUGAUAGGAUAGGGACAAUUAAUGGCAUUACCUCAUAAAUCAUAUUGUUCCCAAGCUGGACCUUGGUGAGAAACUUUCGGUCUAUGGUGCUAGCAGAGAGGGUGUAAUACUCUUCACAAAAAAAUAAUAAUAAUAAUAAAUAAAUAAAUAAUAAAAUAAAAAAGAUUUUUUAAAAUAAAGUAGAUAUAUUUUAGUUAAUGUCAGACUAUAUUAUUAUAUUUAAAAGAAAAUCAAUCAAUCUUACCUCAUCUUAUAAAAAAAAUCAAUUAAUCUUAUCAUAUUUUAAAAUAAAAGUAAUAAGUUUUAUCUCAACAGUUUAAAAGAAAAGGUAAAAAGCUCACGUCAGUUUAUUUCAUCAGACUCAAACGAUAAGUAAUCAGAAGAGUUUAACAUCAGAGAAGAAGAAAGACAGAGGAAAAGGAAAAGUAUUCAAGGGAUUGCUGAUUAAGGUAUAUUUAUGGUUGUAUUUUCAUAGUUUAGAUAAAAAAUCCCUAAAUUAAUUAUAUUUUCUUACCUUUUAUUCAAAUUUGGCACUUUUUCGAUGACUUUCCGAUGGUAUGAUGGGUACCAAUGGAAAGGUCUUGAAAAGAUCUUUCCAAUGAUUUUCGUAGCAUCUUGUUUGGUUUUGCGGUUAAGAAGAUAUGAAUUUUUGAAAUUAAUUAGAAACUUAGUUUUCAACAGUUUGACAACCCAACUUUGGGUCACUGGACUCUAUAUUCCGGUAACAUUUUUGGUUGUUUCUUUGAGGGUUUUUGUAGUAUGAAAUGAAAUGUUUAAUUUGGCGUCAAUAGCUCGGUUAGGGGCUUCUUAUGUUAAGAGAAUUAAAGCCUCAAAGUACACUCAAUGAUACUGAAAACCCAAAAAUUUGGGUUUUUUUUAUGAUUUUGAUAUUUUUGGCUUUCAAAACUUGGGAAUUUUGUGUUCUUUUUAAUCUAAACAAAUUUUGGUGUUGUAGUAUGUUAUGAAUACUUCAUAUUGGUGUUGAUUUUAUCACUGAAAAUAGUUCAGGUUAAAAGUUAUGAGAGCUUAUGACCAUCCAGAUUCUGAAAAUUUCAGAAAAUAAAAAUUUUUUUAAAUUUUUUUAAAAUUUGAUUUUAAUUAAUAUGUGAUAAAUUCUAUUGUAAACUUCAUGAAUAUUGGAUAUGUGAUUUCUAUUGCAUUUUUAUAUCAAAAAGUGUGUAUCUUUAUAUUUUAUAAAUUUAUUUCUUAAAUUAUAGAUUUUAUUAAAAUAUCAAAAAUUUAUGAAAAAUUAUAAAUAUGAUUUUUAUGAAUGAAAUUAGUGUUAUCUUUCUAUCUGAAAUUAGAAUCCUUAUUGAUUUUAUGAUUUAAGUUUAAUUCUCAACUUUAUUGAAAAUUUUAUUAAUUCAAAAAUAUAUAUAAUAAUAAAAUAUUACCUUAUUAAUCGAAAUGUUUUUAAAUUGUAAUAGAGGUCGCUACACACCCUAAUUACUUAGGAUGGCCAAUGGAAGUCACCUUUAAGGAUUUAUUUGCAAAUUCAGUUCUGAUUUUGUAUGUAUUUUCUUUUUUUAUUAAGCUACUAAGAGGAUUUUUUGAUUUGCUACUUGAAAGUGAAAUUGAAAAAAUCAAGUAAGUGACUUAUAUCCCUUCGAUGUUCUCACACCUUAAAAAUUAGCCUCAAUGUGAAUUUGAAUUUCAUAUAUUAUGUACAAUAUGUUUUAUCCUAUGGUUUGUAAAAGUCGGAUUUAGUAUGCAAAAUAUAUAUACAUGAUUUUCGUAUGUUGGAUCUUGGAAUGUAAAAUUUUUGUGAAAUAUGAUUUCAGAUUUUAAAAUAUGAAUAUGAUUUUUGUCUAGCAUAUGCAUAUAUGAUUAUCUUAGUGAUUACAUAUGUAACUACUUAAUUUGAAUUAAAUAUAUUUUUUAUGUGCACGAUAUGUGUUUUGUGAAACUGAAUAUUACCAUUGUGUGAAUUUGGGUAAUCUAAAAAUAUACAUUUCUGUUUUGUGUCCUAGUAUGGCUAUUCUCUGACCCUGUCAAUGGGGGUUAAAUGUUGACCAUGUCGACAUAUAUUCUGUGAUUAUAGAUCGACCUCCCAACCGCACCACUUGUUACAAAAUAGUAGUAUUUGUGAUAUCUGUUCAGUGCAGCCAAUGGUUGCUUUUGAUAUAAUUCUGACUUGUGCCACCGGGGUUAAUUGUGGAUUUAUUUCUGACCUAUGUCACGGGGGUUAAGUGUGGUCGUAGAAUGUUGCAGGAGACAACUAAAAUUUCAAAUAUUUGUGAAAUAUGUUUGUUAUGUUAUCUGAAAUUAGAAAUUUUAAAGCAUAUGAUUAUAAAUAAGAUUAUAUGAUAUUUUUGUUUUGAUAUUUAUAUUAAUGACAUUUUGGCCUAAAUAUUUUAAGCAUGCUUAAUCCGGGUAAAAGGAUGUUAGUUACUUGCUGAGUAGUUGGACUCACUCCUUUUUUAAAAUUUUUUUUAGGUUGUGAUUUGGUCAACCACACGAGAAUUUCGAGGGUGAUGUUUAAUCUAGUAGCAUUUAAAUUAUCUAGGAUUUAUUUAAAUAUUAUGAACAUCGAGCCAUCUUAAUUAGUAUUCAGACUUUUAUCUUGACAUAGUAGCUUUACGAUUUUGAAGGCUUAAUUCUGAAUAUUGUCGAAUUAUAAUCUUUUGAAUUUCUACCGACAGAUUUAGUUUUAUAAAUCACUAAAUUCUUCAAGUAUUUUAGUCUCUUUUAAAUAGUGUUAUAAGGUAUAUGUAUUAAAGCUUUGCAUGUAUGUAAGAUUACAUCUUACAGGUAUGUGACGUCAAUCGUGCGUGUUAGAAAAUUAGUAAAAGAAAAGAGAAGAAAGUAAGGCUUAAGGCGUGCUGUAACGCACUUUUUUUAAAGAGUUGUUGCCUACUAUGGGGAUUCGCAGACAAGGACUCUCUAGGAUACAACAAGACUUUUUGCAAAAUGCUUUUUAAUGAAUUCUGAUUUGGAAGUAUGUUCUUUUAUAGACAAUGACAGGUUGUGUUUGUUGUCUUUCAACAGAUGCGUUCUUUUUAUUUUCAAUAGAUGUGUCUGUACUAUUUUAACAGAUGUGUCUGUUGUAUUUCAACAGACGUAUCUAUAACUUUCAAUAGUUGUGUUUAUUGUAAAUACUUAUUAUUUAUUUAUUUUUAUUUUAUUAUUUUUUAAGAGUUAUAUUUAUUCUUAAAUAGUCACACCUGAAUACUUAUCUUCCAACAAAUAUUACAAACUAUUCAACAAUCCUCUGCUAGUUUGUAAUAUUAAUAAUACUAUGUAUAAUAGAAAGUAUCUUAAAGAUUUGAACUUUCUAUUAGUGUAGAAAUUUUAAAGUUAAGAUGAAGUUAUUGGUAUCACAAGGAUUGAACCUCAACUCCUUAUGUCAUAAUCGAAAAUAUCGCACGCAUAGUUUUUUUUUUUUUUAAGAUUCUGCCAACUGCUUUAGCACUUAUAUGGCCUUGUGGUAAUCCUGGUUUCAUGAAUAUUUACAAGAAUAAACCCUCUUAAUUCUUGGUUGGAGUGCGCCACUCCAAUAUUCAUAUAGGUGAAAUUUGUAUGUAUGUCCCUAUUACUACAGGCAUUUGAUGUUUCCAUUAAGAGCCUUUUGCUCAUCCUUUUCUCAUAACAGUCGCACUAAAUGUUCUAGAAUGAGGCUAUUUGAAUAUUCUAGAAUGAGGCUAUUUAAUAUAAAAUUCAGUGCAUAAUGAUAGCAUAUAGUAACUUGUUAUUACCCAUUAAACUUUUAUUGUUAAUUUUGCUAACUCAAAGUUGGGUUUCCAUUAUUAAUGCUUUUAAUUCAAGGGUUUUAGCCCCAUUUCAGUAAAAGUUGACUUUAUAGCCUCUCUUGGAAAAGUUUUGGUAAGUGGAUCAGCCAAAUUCUUGCAAGAUUUAACAUAAACUAUUGUUAUAAUGUCAUUUGAAAUUAAUUCUCUUAUAUAGGCAUGUCGCAGACUCAUGUGUCUAGACUUUCCAUUAUAGAUCUUAUUAUGGGCUACACACAUUGUAGCCUCACUGUCACAAUAUAUAGAAAUGGCUGGCAUUGGUUGUGGCCACAACUUUAUAUCUAAUAACAAAUUUCUCAGCCAUUUUGUUUCUUUUCCAAUAGCUGCUAACGCUAAAAAUUUCGAUUCCAUUGUGGAAUACGUAAUACAAGUCUGCUUCUUAGAUGCUCAACUAAUGUCACCACCUCCUAAAGUAAAAAUCCAUCAUUAUGUGGAUUUAUUGUGAUCAAUACUAGUUAUCCAACUAGCAUAAAAAAAUCCUUCUAAUGCACUAGGAAAACCAUUGUAACAAAUUUCCAAAUUUUUUGUUUUCUUUAAAUAUCCAAGUACUCUAGUAAUAGCCUUCCAAUGAUCCUUGCUAGGUUUACUUGUAAACCUUGAAAGUUUACAAAUAGCAAAGGCUAUAUCAGGUCUGGUACAAUGCGUAACAUACAUAAUGCUGCCUAUGACACUAGCAUAUUCUAAUUGUGCCAUAACUCUUUCACAAUUCUUAGUCAAUUUUAUACUCGAAUCAUAAGGACUAUUAAACUCUUUGAUUUUCAAAUGACUAUAUUUGUGAAGAAUUUUCUCUAUGUAAUGUGAUUGAUUUAAUGAAAUCACAUUUUGAUCUCUUUUGACCUUAAUUCCCAAAAUUGUGUCAACUUCAUUAAGAUCUUUCAUUUUGAAAAAUGAAGUCAAAUAUUUCUUGGUUUCAACAACUCCAAGCAUAUUUGUACUAAAGAUCAACAAAUCAUCUACAUAAAGACAUAUGAUUACGCCAUAGCCUUUUGUAAAUUUAGAGUAAAUGCAUUUAUCUGCAUUAUUAUGUACAAAUCUAUUUGAAAGUAUAGUACUAUUAAACUUUUCAUGCCAUUGCUUUGGAGCUUGUUUUAAUCCAUAAAGAGAUUUGAUUAGUUUACAAACCUUCAUUUCAUUUUCAGGAAGUAUAAAACCUUCAGGUUGCUCCAUAUAUAUUUCUUCAUUAAGAUCUCCAUUUAAGAAGGCAGUUUUAACAUUCAUUUGAUUUACAUGUAAUUUAUGAAUGGAAGCCAAAGCCAAAAGUGUUCUUAUGGAUGUUAUUCUUGCUACCAAGGCGUAAGUAUCAAAAUAAUCUAUGCCUUUUUUUUGCGUAAAACCUUUGGCAACUAGUCUAGCUUUAAAGGUUUGCACUGAACCAUUUGUGUUAUAUUUUCUUCUAAAUACCCAUUUACAACCUAUGGGUUUUGAUCCAGGAGGAAGAUCAAUCAAAACCCAUGUUUUGUUUGAUAAGAUUGAAUUCAUUUCAUCAUUUAUUGCUUCUUUCCAAAAAGCUACAUCCCUUGAAGAUAUAGCUUUUUUAAAUGUUUUUGGAUCAUCUUCAACGUUUAACAAAAUAGGUAUCUUUUUACACACUUUGGUUUUACUUCCUUCCAUAAGGAAUGCUAAUGCUUGUGAGUCAACAAAAUCUAGAUCUAAGUGCUUUCUUUUUAUAGCUCUUUGACUUCUUCUCAGCUCAAUUUGAGUAUCAUCCCUUUUUUUUUUACUGAAUGUAUUAUGAGAAGUCAUAUCACUUUGGUCACAACUUGGAAUUAAGACAUUUUGUUCAUAAUCUUUAUUAUUAUAGUUAUACAUAAAUUUAUUUUCAAUAAAUUCAACAUGUAUAAACUCUACAAUAAUAUUUGAUUGUAAAUCUAAAAUUUUAUAUGCUUUAGAAUGUUGGGCAUAGCUAACAAAAAUGCCUUUUAUUGCUCUGGGUUCAAGCUUUGUUCUUUGUUAUUCAGAAACUUUAUAAAAAGCCAAGCACCCCCACAAUUUAAGAUAUUCCAAGUUUAGUUUUCUUCCAUUCCAAAGUUCAUAAAGUGAGACCUUAAUAUUUUUGGAAGGAACUUUAUUCAGUAUAUGACAUGCUGUUAAUAAGACUUCUCCCCAUAAAUCGUGUGAUAGAUGUGCAUUUAAUAACAUAGCAUUUGUCAUAUCAACCAAAGUUCUAUUUUUCCUUUCAGCUAAUCCAUUUUGUUGUGCUGAAUAAGGAGCACUUUUUUUAUGUAUCAAACCAUUUUCUUCACAAAAAUUAUCAAAUUUUGUAGGAAAAUAUUCUCCUCUUCUAUCACUUCUUAGAAUUUUGAUUUUUCUACCUUUUUGGUUUUCCACAACACAUUUAUAUUCUUUAAAUUUCUGAAAAGCUUCAUGUUUUGUUUUAAUUAAAUAGACAUAAGUGAACCUAGAAUAAUCAUCUAUGAAAGUUAUAAAAUAUCUUUUUCCUCCUCUAGUUAACUUUCCAUUUAAUUCACAUAUAUUAGAAUGCACAAUAUCUAAUAAUUAUGAGUUUCUUUUUACACUACGAAAAGGUUUCUUUGUCAUUUUUGCUUGUAUACAUAUUUCAUAUUUUUCCUAGUGCUCAUGUUUGCAUGCAAUAUAACCAUAUUUAGACAUAAAUUUCAUGGAACCAAAAUUUAAGUAUUCUAAUCUAGCAUGCCAUAAUAAAGAAUUAGACUUAAUAGUAUAAGCAGAAAUUAUAUUUAUUUCAUCAAUACUGAACUUGUACAUGCUAUUACAAAAGUAUCUUUUUCCUACAAAUAGGCCACCCUUGGAUAUUAUUACAUUAUCAGAUUCGAUUACAAUUUUAAAACCUUUAUUUGCAAGCAAAGAAGCAAAAACUAAAUUCUUUCGAAUUUUAGGAACAUGGAAUACAUUAAGUAAUGUCAACUUUUGUCCAGAAGUGAAGUUCAACUCAACAGUCCCUUUUCCUUCAACUUUGGUUGUAACAUGAUUUCCCAUCAAAAUAUUUUCUGAUUUAUUAAUUUUCAUGUAUGUCUUGAACAAGUUUUUGUCAUUGCAUACAUGAAUUGUAGCACCAGAAUCUAGCGACCAAUCUUUACUUUUAUUGGAAUCAACAGCCAUGUUCAAUUCUAUUACCAUUCCAAUAUUCAUUGUCGAAACCAUAGCAACCAAUUCAUUGACAGCCUCUUCUAUUAUGUUUGCUUUUUCAGGAUUUAUAGAACCAAAAUUCUUUCCUGCCUUCCUUGAUCUGCAUUCACUAAUCAUAUGGCCUUUCUUUCCACAAUGGAAACAUUUUAUAUUUUUCUUAUCUUUUUUCUUAAAGGCCUAUCUUGAAACUUUCUAUGCAAAUGACUUGAAUUUCAUAGAAUUCUUUCCAAAAUUUUUAGAAUUCUGACUCACAAGAUUCACCUUCGAAUCAGAGGGCUGAAAUAGCGUAUCAUGAGCACGUGUUUCACAUUCUAUUUGCAUCUGAGUCAUGAAUUGCUCUAUUGAUAGAGACUCCAUAGAAUGCAGAACCUUUUUUUUAUAGUUAUUCAAAGAUUGAGGCAAUUUAGAAAGAAUUGCACCUAUUUAUAGCGCAUCAGGAACCUUAACCUCAAGGUCUUUUAGUUUUGAACUAAAAUUUGUAAAUCAUGUACUUGAUCCAUGAUAGGCAGAUUGUUACUUAUCUUAAACUCAAAAUACUUUAAAGAUAAAAAUUUGUUAGUACCUAUUUUUUCGUUUUUAUAGGUAGUUUCCAAGGUUUCUCAAAUUUCUUUUGGAGUUUUCAGAUUGGAGUAGAGAUCAUAUAGAUGAUCUGUCAAAGUGUUUGAAAUGUGUCCACGACAUAUCAAUUCAUCUUCUUCACAUUUUUUUCUCUCUGCCUUUUGUGCAUCAAAGUCUUCAACAGUCGGUUCUGGAAGUACAGUAAGAGUUAGAUCUAGAACAUAAUAAACCUUCAAGGCUGUGAGCAAAAACACCAUCUUAUCUCUCCAGCGGGUGAAAUUGGUUCCAUCAAACCGAUCAAGUUUGAUGAAUUCUUGAUUCAUAAGUUGAAAUCUUGAAUUUGAAUUAGACUUCAUUGAACACAACUCUUUAAAAUUGUUAGAAAAUUAGUAGAAGAAGAAAAGAGAAGAAAGUAAGGCUUGAGGCGUGCUGUAACAUACUUUCUUUAAAGAGUUGUUGCCUACUAUGGGGAUUCGUACUAUGGGGAUUCGUAGACAAUGACUCUCCAGGAUACAACAAGCCUUUUUGCAGAAUGUUUUUUAAUGAAUUCUGAUUUGGAAGUAUGUUCUUUUAUAAACAGUAACAGGUUGUGUUUGUUGUCUUUCAACAUAUGCGUUUUUUUUAUUUUCAACAGAUGUGUCUGUACUGUUUUAACAGAUGUAUCUGUUGUAUUUCAACAGAUGUAUCUGUUGUAUUUCAACAGAUGUAUCUGUUGUAUUUCAACAGAUGUAUCUAUAACUUUCAAUAAUUGUGUUUAUUGUAAAUACUUAUUAUUUAUUUAUUUUUAUUUUAUUAUUUUUUAAGAGUUAUAUUUAUUCUUAAAUAGUCACACCUGAAUACUUAUCUUCCAACAAAUAUUACAAACUAUUCGACAGUGCGUUGGGGUUUGGGGCGUGACAGAGGGGCCAUGACGAAAAAUUGGUGAUGGUUGCACGGUCAGGACCCUGAUUACCUGCAGAGUUUACUGUCAACACGCCGUUUCUCAUGGCAUGAAACGCUCCAAUUGCAAUAGAAUCGUUGAAAUAGUCUUUAGGAGUUGCUGCUCCUAUUGAAAGAGAUAUAAUGUCAACCCCAUCUGCAAUUGCUUCAUCAAAAGCUGCCAGAAUGUCAGCAUCAUAACAACCAUCAGACCAGCAAAUCUUGUACAAGGCAAUACGUGCCGAUGGAACCCCUCCAAGAGCUGUUCCCAAGGCAAAACCAAACAGGCUUGCCCUGUUAACCAACCCUCCGGCUGCUGUUGAUGCAGUAUGAGUCCCAUGGCCACUAGUAUCUCGAGGAGAAACAAUGUCAUCUGGGCCAAAUAACCCAUCGCUCCGGUAAUGCUGUGCUCCAAUGAUCUUACUGCAUUUGGAUUCCGGACAGCAAUAUUUGUCAAACUUCAGACAGUACUUUGACUGACUCUCCAAAGACUAUAAUAACAAAUAUUUAUGUAAGAUGCAUACUUGUUGCAAGUGAAAUUGCCACCUGCUGUUUGACAAUUGCCUUUCCAUUUGCUGGGAGGUGGACCAAAUCCUUUGUCAUUAAAACUUUCAGAUUCCGGCCAGAUUCCAGUGUCUAAAACUCCAAUGAUUACAUCACUUUCCGAAGCUGAUCUUUCCACUUAUUGGGAGAACCCCUUGACGUCCCAUGACCUUGUUGUAUGGAGGUCUCUCUUUUCAUUCGGAAACACAGAUACCACACCAUUCAUUCCUGAACGUCGAAAGAUGGUGUUAACUGAUUUCAAGAAAACUAUUAGAAAAGUGAUCUUCAUUUGGAUGAUGAAAAGCUGAGUUGGUUGUUGAAGAGGAGAAAACCAGAUAGCGGGCUGCAACGGUAACUUGAAGUUCUGAAGUAGCGAUUGGUGUCAAAACGCAGCAAGCAGGAGUCGUUUUUACUUUACUGAAUUUUUUGUUAAUGAAACGUUGCAGGAGUCUGUCGUUUUACUGAGUCUUCUUUUAUGUUGUUACUCAUACGAUGUCGUUUACUAUUUCUUGUAAGGCUUUAAGCCAAGUUUGGUUCAGUUUCUUAUGUGCUCAGACUUAUUAGGACUUCAGGUUUAGAGCUGGGCUUCAGCUGCCUGAUGUUCAUGUAAUCUUUUUCUUCAUCAUUUCUUCUGUAAAGCUGCAAUUUCACUUUCCCAAAAACGAAAUGGUGAAAGAUUCAUAUGAGUUUAUUGCAUUGAUGAGGGUAAAUACAUAGUAAAGUUAUUUAUAAGAUACUAUGAUAUUUCAAAUAAAUACAAUGAUGGGACUCCUCACUUUGUGUACACCAUCAUCCCAUUCCAAAGAAGCAGAAACUAUAGCUUUAUCUGUUGUUCCUUCAAUUGCUAGCUCAAAUGAUAGCUUUUGCCCGAGAGAUGUGAAUGACAGAACAUUAGGAUUAACUUGUAUCUUAAGUGCUCCUGCUGGAGCAGUAACUGUUGCUGUAUAUGUAGACAUUGGUGAUCCCACAUUUGUGACAGUCCUGUUGAAGGUGCGGCUAACUGGUUUCAAGGGUGAGGUAAAAAGAGCAAACGAAGGAUAGUUUAGAUCCCAAACUGUUCCAUUCGUAGCUUCAGAACAAGUAGCAUUAUCCCUAGUGACUAGUUGUAGAAACCGAGUGCUAUAUCCUUGUCCGCAUAAAAAUUUUAUGUAGUCAACUUCCUCAGA